GCUAAGCGACUGCGGAGGACAUUACCUAGAGUUUGUAGACUUCGGUCUGCUACCUCUUACCCAUGUCUUUUGAGUACUUUCGUUUCCUCGGCGGGUCCGCCCGCCGAUUGGACAACAUUCAAACCCUUUGCAGUUGCAAUCAGCGUCUGAAAAAACAUAAUAGUUACAACUUUCAACAACGGAUCUCUUGGUUCUGGCAUCGAUGAAGAACGCAGCGAAAUGCGAUAAGUAGUGUGAAUUGCAGAAUUCAGUGAAUCAUCGAAUCUUUGAACGCACAUUGCGCCCCUUGGUAUUCCAUGGGGCAUGCCUGUUCGAGCGUCAUUUGUACCUUCAAGCUCUGCUUGGUGUUGGGUGUUUGUCUCGCCUCUGCGUGUAGACUCGCCUUAAAACAAUUGGCAGCCGGCGUAUUGAUUUCGGAGCGCAGUACAUCUCGCGCUUUGCACUCAUAACGACGACGUCCAAAAGUACAUUUUUACACUCUUGACCUCGGAUCAGGUAGGGAUACCCGCUGAACUUAAGCAUAUCACUAAGCCGGACGAAAC
RNAcentral lists this ribosomal RNA (542 nucleotides) under Epicoccum nigrum. Its description in RNAcentral is "eukaryotic LSU rRNA". The stretch from base 168 to 321 matches the Rfam family "5.8S ribosomal RNA". Lineage: Eukaryota; Fungi; Ascomycota; Dothideomycetes; Pleosporales; Didymellaceae. The record is from RNAcentral.